CACGCUGUAAACGAUGAAUGCUAGGUGUAGCGGGUAUCGACCCCUGCUGUGCCGCAGUAAACACAAUAAGCAUUCCGCCUGGGGAGUACGGCCGCAAGGUUGAAACUCAAAGGAAUUGACGGGGGCCCGCACAAGCAGCGGAGCAUGUCGUUUAAUUCGAUGCAACGCGAAGAACCUUACCAGGUCUUGACAUCCAACUAAACUUGUGGAGACACAAGGUCCCUUCGGGGGAGUUGAGACAGGUGG
This 246-nucleotide ribosomal RNA is filed under the name uncultured Eubacteriales bacterium. RNAcentral's name for it is "uncultured Clostridiales bacterium partial 16S ribosomal RNA". It matches the Rfam family "Bacterial small subunit ribosomal RNA", at positions 796 to 1041 of the family's 1533-position model. Lineage: Bacteria; Bacillati; Bacillota; Clostridia; Eubacteriales. The record is from RNAcentral.